AGUGGGUGUAACGUACCUACUAGCCUACGACGGGUACGGGUUGUGAGAGCAAGAGCCCGGAGAUGGAUUCUGAGACAUGAAUCCAGGCCCUACGGGGUGCAGCAGGCGCGAAAACUUUACAAUGCGGGCAACCGCGAUAAGGGGACCUCGAGUGCUGGGUUACAAACCUGGCUGUUGGGCUGCCUAAAAAGCAGUCUAUAGCAAGGGCCGGGCAAGACCGGUGCCAGCCGCCGCGGUAACACCGGCGGCUCGAGUGGUAACCGCUAUUAUUGGGUCUAAAGGGUCUGUAGCCGGCCGACUAAGUCUCUUGGGAAAUCUGGCAUCUCAAGUGUCAGGCUGCCAGGGGAUACUGGUCGGCUUGGGACCGGGAGAGGUGAGAGGUACCUCGGGGGUAGGGGUGAAAUCUUGUAAUCCUCGAGGGACCACCAGUGGCGAAGGCGUCUCACCAGAACGGAUCCGACGGCAAGGGACGAAAGCUAGGGGCACGAACCGGAUUAGAU
This 500-nucleotide ribosomal RNA is filed under the name uncultured microorganism. Its description in RNAcentral is "bacterial SSU rRNA". It matches the Rfam family "Archaeal small subunit ribosomal RNA", at positions 234 to 734 of the family's 1478-position model. The record is from RNAcentral.